UGAGUACGAGCUGCUACGGCAGCGAAGUGGGUGAUGUCAAGCUUCCAAGAAAAGCCCUAUACCCGUUAAGGCAUGACGGCCUGUACCCGAAACCGACACAGGUGGGUAGGUAGAGUAUACUAAGGGGCGCGAGAUAACUCUCUCUAAGGAACUCGGCAAAAUGACUCCGUAACUUCGGGAGAAGGAGUGCCUUAUUUAUAAGGUUGCAAUAACAAGAUCCAAGCAACUGUUUAUCAAAAACACAGGUCUCCGCUAAGUCGUAAGACGAUGUAUGGGGGCUGACGCCUGCCCAGUGCCAGAAGGUUAAAGAAGUUGGUUAGUGUAUGCGAAGCUGAUGACUGAAGCCCUGGUGAACGGCGGCCGUAACGAUAACGGUCCUAAGGUAGCGAAAUUCCUUGUCGGGUAAGUUCCGACCCGCACGAAAGGCGUAAUGAUUUGGAUACUGUCUCGGAGAGAGGCUCGUUGAAAUAGACUUGUCUGUGAAGAUGCGGACUACCUGCACCAGGACAGAAAGACCCUAUGAAGCUUUACUGUAACUUGAAAUUGGAAUUGGACUUUGCUUGCGCAGUAUAGGUGGGAAGCGUUGAAAAUAUUCUUGCGGGAGUAUUGGAGCUAUCAGUGAGAUACCACUCUUGUAAUGUUAGAUUUCUAACUUUGAACCAUAAUCUGGUCAAAGAACAGUUUCAGGUGGGCAGUUUGACUGGGGCGGUCGCCUCCCAAAUGGUAACGGAGGCGUACAAAGGUUUCCUCUGAACGGAUAGAAAUCGUAUCUAGAGUGUAAAGGCAUAAGGAAGCUUGACUGUGAGACCUACAAGUCGAGCAGGGACGAAAGUCGGUCUUAGUGAUCUGACGGUACUGAGUGGAAAGGCCGUCACUCAACGGAUAAAAGUUACUCUAGGAUAACAGGCUGAUCUCCCCCAAGAGUUCACAUCGACGGGGAGGUUUGGCACCUCGAUGUCGGCUCAUCGCAUCCUGGGGCGGUAGUACGUCCCAAGGGUUGGGCUGUUCGCCCAUGAAAGCGGUACGCGAGCUGGGUUCAGAACGUCGUGAGACAGUUCGGUCCAUAUCCGGUGUAGGCGCUAGAAUAUUAAGAGGAGCCUUCUUUAGUACGAGAGGACCGAGAAGGACACACCGCUGGUGUACCAGUUAUCGUGCCAACGGUAAACGCUGGGUAGCUAUGUGUGGAGUGGAUAACCGCUGAAAGCAUCUAAGUGGGAAGCCCACCUCGAGAUGAGUAUUC
This 1240-nucleotide ribosomal RNA is filed under the name metagenome. RNAcentral describes it as "bacterial LSU rRNA". It matches the Rfam family "Bacterial large subunit ribosomal RNA", at positions 1564 to 2813 of the family's 2925-position model. The record is from RNAcentral.